This 497-nucleotide ribosomal RNA is filed under the name uncultured bacterium. RNAcentral describes it as "partial 16S ribosomal RNA". It matches the Rfam family "Bacterial small subunit ribosomal RNA", at positions 28 to 507 of the family's 1533-position model. The record is from RNAcentral.
GAUGAACGCUGGCGGCGUGCCUAAUACAUGCAAGUCGAGCGAACAGAUGAGGAGCUUGCUCCUCUGACGUUAGCGGCGGACGGGUGAGUAACACGUGUAUAACCUACCUAUAAGACUGGGAUAACUUCGGGAAACCGGAGCUAAUACCGGAUAAUAUCUUGAACCGCAUGGUUCAAUAGUGAAAGGCGGUUUUGCUGUCACUUAUCGAUGGAUCCGCGCCGCAUUAGCUAGUUGGUAAGGUAACGGCUUACCAAGGCGACGAUGCGUAGCCGACCUGAGAGGGGGAUCGGCCACACUGGAACUGAGACACGGUCCAGACUCCUACGGGAGGCAGCAGUAGGGAAUCUUCCGCAAUGGGCGAAAGCCUGACGGAGCAACGCCGCGUGAGUGAUGAAGGUCUUCGGAUCGUAAAACUCUGUUAUUAGGGAAGAACAAAUGUGUAAGUAACUAUGCACGUCUUGACGGUACCUAAUCAGAAAGCCACGGCUAACUACGUG